AAGAAAUUUAAUAAUUUUGAAAAUGGAUUUUUUUGUUUUGGCAAGAGCAUGAGAGCUUUUACUGGGCAAGAAGACAAGAGAUGGAGAGUCCAGCCGGGCCUGCGCUUAAGUGCGCGGUCUUGCUAGGCUUGUAAGUUUCUUUCUUGCUAUUCCAAACGGUGAGAGAUUUCUGUGCUUUUGUUAUAGGACAAUUAAAACCGUUUCAAUACAACACACUGUGGAGUUUUCAUAUCUUUGCAACUUUUUCUUUGGGCAUUCGAGCAAUCGGGGCCCAGAGGUAACAAACACAAACAAUUUUAUCUAUUCAUUAAAUUUUUGUCAAAAACAAGAAUUUUCGUAACUGGAAAUUUUAAAAUAUUAAAAACUUUCAACAACGGAUCUCUUGGUUCUCGCAUCGAUGAAGAACGCAGCGAAAUGCGAUACGUAAUGUGAAUUGCAGAAUUCCGUGAAUCAUCGAAUCUUUGAACGCACAUUGCGCCCCUUGGUAUUCCAGGGGGCAUGCCUGUUUGAGCGUCAUUUCCUUCUCAAACAUUCUGUUUGGUAGUGAGUGAUACUCUUUGGAGUUAACUUGAAAUUGCUGGCCUUUUCAUUGGAUGUUUUUUUUUCCAAAGAGAGGUUUCUCUGCGUGCUUGAGGUAUAAUGCAAGUACGGUCGUUUUAGGUUUUACCAACUGCGGCUAAUCUUUUUUUAUACUGAGCGUAUUGGAACGUUAUCGAUAAGAAGAGAGCGUCUAGGCGAACAAUGUUCUUAAAGU
RNAcentral lists this unclassified non-coding RNA (754 nucleotides) under Saccharomyces cerevisiae (brewer's yeast). RNAcentral's name for it is "partial contains ITS1, 5.8S rRNA, ITS2". The stretch from base 363 to 516 matches the Rfam family "5.8S ribosomal RNA". Lineage: Eukaryota; Fungi; Ascomycota; Saccharomycetes; Saccharomycetales; Saccharomycetaceae. The record is from RNAcentral.